CUACGUGCCAGCAGCCGCGGUAAUACGUAGGGUGCAAGCGUUAAUCGGAAUUACUGGGCGUAAAGAGUGCGCAGGCGGUUUUGCAAGACCGAUGUGAAAUCCCCGGGCUUAACCUGGGAACUGCAUUGGUGACUGCAAGGCUAGAGUGUGUCAGAGGGAGGUGGAAUUCCGCAUGUAGCAGUGAAAUGCGUAGAUAUGCGGAGGAACACCGAUGGCGAAGGCAGCCUCCUGGGAUAACACUGACGCUCAUGCACGAAAGCGUGGGGAGCAAACAGGAUUAGAUACCCUGGUAGUCCACGCCCUAAACGAUGUCUACUAGUUGUCGGGGAUUAAUUUCCUUGGUAACGCAGCUAACGCGUGAAGUAGACCGCCUGGGGAGUACGGUCGCAAGAUUAAAACUCAAAGGAAUUGACGGGGACCCGCACAAGCGGUGGAUGAUGUGGUUUAAUUCGAUGCAACGCGAAGAACCUUACCUACUCUUGACAUCCAGA
RNAcentral lists this ribosomal RNA (491 nucleotides) under uncultured bacterium. Its description in RNAcentral is "bacterial SSU rRNA". It matches the Rfam family "Bacterial small subunit ribosomal RNA", at positions 501 to 992 of the family's 1533-position model. The record is from RNAcentral.